This 253-nucleotide ribosomal RNA is filed under the name uncultured bacterium. Its description in RNAcentral is "partial 16S ribosomal RNA". It matches the Rfam family "Bacterial small subunit ribosomal RNA", at positions 524 to 776 of the family's 1533-position model. The record is from RNAcentral.
UACGGAGGGUGCAAGCAUUAAUCGGAUUUAUUGGGCGUAAAGGGCGCGUAGGCGGGAAUGUAAGUCAGAUGUGAAAUCCCGGGGCUCAACCCCGGAACAGCAUUUGAAACUACAUUUCUAGAGGAUAGGCGGAGAAAACAGAAUUCCACAAGUAGCGGUGAAAUGCGUAGAUAUGUGGAAGAAUACCGGUGGCGAAGGCGGUUUUCUAGCUUAGACCUGACGCUGAGGCGCGAAAGCUAGGGGAGCAAACAGG